CCGAAAAGCCCAUUGGUCGCCCAAACCCCAUAGCCGCACGCCCGCACCUCCCUCACUCGUUUCAGCCGCACGAACCCUAGCCGCCGCCCCGCUCGCAUUCGUCCUCCAUCCCUGGUACGAGCUCCUCCUCCUCUGUCUAUGUCUGCCCUGAGCUCCUCCUCCUCCGUCCUCACGUGCUCCACCCCGAGCCCUGCCUCUUCCACCCCACCCGGACUUCGCCUCGUCUGUUCGCUCGCCAGUUCAAAGGGCAGGGCCAGAGAGCCGUGGCGAGUCCUCGGGAGAGGAGAUGAAGGCAAAAGCGGAGCAGAGGAAACCAAGAAGGCGAGGGGCGAAGGAGGGAUGGGACAAGGCCAUGAAGAGCAUGGUGGACGAGAUCGCGUUGCUGUCGACGCGGGUGGGUCCAUGGGAUGGCGAUGUGUGGCGCCGGUGGCUCAAGGAGGAGUAUCGCACCCUCAUCGCCUACACCUAGGUGAACAAGGCCAAGGACAACCACUUGUUCCACAUCUCCGCCGCCAACCAUAGGGUACCCACUGGGAGGGCACCUGCUGGUCGCGCCCGAGAUCGAGCUCUGCACGCUCGAUUCAAGUCCCACAAGGUGUACCACGAAGGGAAGAUCUGCCUCACUAUGCACUUCAGCCAUGCACACUAGCGAUGGUACAUGAUUGGCUUCCUGGUGGAAUCAGAACUUUCUGAAUCCGACGCUGUCAAUCGGGCCGCAGAGAGGAAGUGUGGUGGAGAUGAGAUGGGGACAGACGAUCAUGCAGCGAUGUUGUUUCUUUGUUCUCCUGCUCAAGGUUUGCUAUCGAGCUCUCAAAAAGGAAAAACAACUUUACUCUGUUUUCUGGAUAACCUUCCCGUAGAGUCACUACCUCGACAGAGACAAAUAUGCGAUCAAGGAUAUAUUCGAUGGAUUUUCAAGCAAAACUUGGAGGAUAUUUUUGCAGAUAGUUUGGUGCUCUCAUGGUUAUUUUGUAGAGAUUGCCCCUCUGUUCAUUUCUUGGUAACCAUCUACUGCAGCUCAGCUACUGUCCAGCAGCUGACCUUAUGGUGUGUGAUUGACGGUGCAUGUUUUCCUAUUAGUUUCUCUGUAUGCCAAUGUCUGAAUUUUAUCUUGCCUUUUUGCAUUUCUCAAGGCCUUCCAUUCUCACUGUGAUUCACCGAGAUGUUCUAUCAGUAGGCAUGCACUUUCUAAUAAAAAUUUGGCAGUCUACUUGAAGCGAGUCAUUUAUCUAGCUACAAUAACCUUCCUUGCUUUUGCAAUAACACUUUAUGGUUGGCACUAUAGUCUAUAUCUGCCAAAUAUUUACACGUUAGUUUAGCCAGAAAUUCAGAUGCCACACGUUAGUGAUGGUUUGUUAUUCUUCUAUCAUUCCAUGUUGGUUAGCCAUGAUAAAUUUGAUUUCUAGAGUAGCAGAUGAUUCAUGUCAGGUUUCUUUUAGAUAUCGAAAUAUGUGUUGACUCUGAAAUAAGUAGUACGCCGUCCAGUUCUACAUAGGUGAAAGCAUACUGAUCCCAUUUACAUACUAUGCAAAACUGGACGGCCUUCUAAAUCUCUGAAACUACUAUUUGUUGUGUAAUCUGUAUCACCUUUUCAUACUCUGUAUAUGCUUUCUACUUGCUCCCUCCGUCUGAAAAAACUUGUCCCUCAAAUACAUGUAUCUAGCACCAAGUAAGUGCUAGAUACAUCCAUUUGAAAGAUAAGCUUGAGACAAGUUUUUCCGGACGGAGGGAGUACUUGGUAAAAGUGCGUGAGAACGAUGGCCUAAAGGAUGUGAAUUGCACUCGAAUAUAUGCAGGUUUCAUGCCAAACUAGCCACUAUUGUAUUUCAGAUGCUUCUUCUGUAACUUAAUAUAUUUUGCCGGCUCUUCUCAUUUCCCGGUGAACUUUUUAGUCUGUACAGUUGAAUUGUUGGAAGUUGUUUUCUACUAUCUAUAGAGGUUUUAUUAUCCAAACUAUUAGCUGCCUGACUCGCUUUUUUGAAACGAAGUGUUCCUAGGAUUGCCUUUUUACAUAUGGUUAUGCUCCAUAUGGCUACCUAUGUACAUAUGCGAAGGUUCUGUUUGGACUACUCAAAUCGCGUGGAGCUGUUAAAUUUCCAAUUUGUUGCCUUGCCGUUGUGUGCCAUCGCAAUGUUUACUGCAGAAAAAUUGAAUGAGCAAACUUCUUUCUUGAUUAGUUACUUGUUUUGCCUUAAAGACGUUCCCCACCUAUGUCACGUGUUUUAUUUUUGUAUGAAUUUCAUAUUCCCUGGAAUAUGAGAAUAAACUGUCCUGAUAGACCAGUGGACCAACACAUUUCCAUUGUAUUUUAGAAAAUAUAUGUGAAUUUGCAUAUAUUUUCUAAAUUUAUGUCUUUUCUUAUCCAUGCUCCUCCAUAGAUAAAUAGUAGGCUCAACAAAAAUGAAUGUUCACUUGUGUUCAAAUUUCUAGGAAGUGUGCUUCACGCUUCUCUUUCUGCAAUAUGUUUCAGAGUAUAUAUUUUAAUUUUCCUACUUUCCCUGUUACAGUACUGUGUAUGUCAUUCUUAGCUUUGCUUUUGGAAGCAUAUAUGAGCUUUAAUUACCAUAAUAGUCUAGAAAUGCUAACUUGAAAUUGAACAAGCAACAAUCCAGUUAUUGUGCUUUCUUUCCCUCAUAAACUUGCUGACGAUAUGGGUGAAGAUUGCAGAUUUCUUAUGGAAUAAAAAGGUAAAUAUGAUGGUUUGAGAAUUGUUGGUCAAGAAUGAAUAAGAGAAAGGCAUCACAGUCAAGUUCGGAGAAGAAAAAAGAUACAAAGACAAAGAUAGAUCAGUAUUCUGCUCUGAAGCUAAACCUUUUUGUGGAAUCCAUGUUACUUCGUAUUAUGGAAGUAUGACUUGGUCAUAUAUAUUACAUUAAUGUUGUCAAGUUGUUGUUCAGCAAUAGGCAUAAUGUCCUAUCAAGUUACUUGAUUUUGUAUUAUGUAAGUACGACUUAGUCAUAUAUAUAUAUAUAUUUACAUUAUUGUUGUCAA
Molecule: RNA transcript, 2991 nt
Organism: Triticum aestivum (bread wheat)
Lineage: Eukaryota; Viridiplantae; Streptophyta; Magnoliopsida; Poales; Poaceae
Exons: 6
Source: RefSeq, a predicted model, not a curated record